AUUCAUGCGAGACAUGAAAUAAUUGUUACAGCUGUAAGCUCAUUAGAAAAGUUUAUGCUGAAGAUAAUUCAGAAUUAUUUAUAAUUUUGUGCCCUGAUUGUAAUUUCAUUUGGAAGGAUAUAUUUGCUAUUGGAAGAGUUUUAGUGAAUGCAUCACGUUCGCAUAUAUAUUCGAGGAUCCUAAACCCUUGUGAUACCGACAUUGUAUUUUACAAAGGAACUCGCAUGUUAUUGAUGUGUUUCCCUCAGUUUUAGUUUGUAACCCGGAUUUGGUUUUGUUUUAAUCGAAUUAUGACUUUCGAACAGCG
This 307-nucleotide long non-coding RNA is filed under the name Mytilus galloprovincialis (Mediterranean mussel). Lineage: Eukaryota; Metazoa; Mollusca; Bivalvia; Mytilida; Mytilidae. The record is from RNAcentral.